This 330-nucleotide ribosomal RNA is filed under the name uncultured bacterium. RNAcentral describes it as "bacterial SSU rRNA". It matches the Rfam family "Bacterial small subunit ribosomal RNA", at positions 568 to 898 of the family's 1533-position model. The record is from RNAcentral.
CGUGUAGGCGGCUCAUCAAGUCUGGUGUGAAAGCGCAGGGCUCAACCCUGCGUAGGCGCCUGGAAACUGGUGGGCUGGAGUUCCUGAGGGGAAGCUGGAAUUCCAGGUGUAGGGGUGAAAUCUGUAGAUAUCUGGAAGAACACCGGUGGCGAAGGCGAGCUUCUAUCAGAGGACUGACGCUGAGGCGCGAAAGCGUGGGGAGCAAACAGGAUUAGAUACCCUGGUAGUCCACGCUGUAAACGAUGUGCACUAGGCGUGGGGCACGUACGUGUUCUGUGCCGUAGUUAACGUGAUAGUGCACGCCGUGGGAGUAUGCUCGACAAGGGUGAA